AUACUUACCUGGCAAGGGAGACACCGUGAUCACCAAGGCGGUUCACCCAGGGCGAGGCUCAGCCAUUGCACUGCGGCUGUGCUGACCCCUGCGAAUUUCCCAAAUGUGGAAAUCUCGAUUGCAUAAUUUCUGGUAGUGGGGGACUGCGUUCGCGCUCUCCCCUG
Esox lucius (northern pike) is the source of this 164-nucleotide small nuclear RNA. Its record names the gene U1. It matches the Rfam family "U1 spliceosomal RNA". Rfam says of the family: U1 is a small nuclear RNA (snRNA) component of the spliceosome (involved in pre-mRNA splicing). The record is from Ensembl. Lineage: Eukaryota; Metazoa; Chordata; Actinopteri; Esociformes; Esocidae.